RNAcentral lists this ribosomal RNA (253 nucleotides) under uncultured bacterium. RNAcentral's name for it is "partial 16S ribosomal RNA". It matches the Rfam family "Bacterial small subunit ribosomal RNA", at positions 524 to 776 of the family's 1533-position model. The record is from RNAcentral.
UACGUAGGUUCCCAGCGUUGUCCGGAUUUACUGGGCGUAAAGAGCGCGCAGGCGGUCGUUCAAGUCGAGUGUGAAAGCCCCCGGCUCAACUGGGGAGGGUCACUCGAUACUGAUCGACUUGAAGGCAGGAGAGGGAAGCGGAAUUCCCGGUGUAGUGGUGAAAUGCGUAGAUAUCGGGAGGAACACCAGUGGCGAAGGCGGCUUCCUGGCCUGUUCUUGACGCUGAGGCGCGAAAGCUAGGGGAGCAAACGGG